AGUGAACGCUGGCGGCGUGCUUAACACAUGCAAGUCGAACGAGAACGGGUUAUAGCUUGCUAUAAUUGUCAGCUAAGUGGCGCACGGGUGAGUAAUGUAUAGGUAAUAUGCCUCUUACUAAGGGAUAACAAAUGGAAACGUUUGCUAAUACCUUAUACUCCUUAUUAACAGCAGUUAAUAAGGGAAAGAUUUAUUGGUAAGAGAUUAGCCUGUAUUGUAUCAGUUAGUUGGUGGGGUAAUGGCUUACCAAGACUAUGACACAUAACUGGUUAGAGAGGAUGAUCAGUCACACUGGAACUGAGACACGGUCCAGACUCCUACGGGAGGCAGCAGUGGGGAAUAUUGCACAAUGGACGAAAGUCUGAUGCAGCAACGCCGCGUGGAGGAUGACACAUUUCGGUGCGUAAACUCCUUUUAUAUGAGAAGAUAAUGACGGUAUUAUAUGAAUAAGCACCGGCUAACUCCGUGCCAGCCGCCGCUGUAA
This 484-nucleotide ribosomal RNA is filed under the name uncultured bacterium. Its description in RNAcentral is "partial 16S ribosomal RNA". It matches the Rfam family "Bacterial small subunit ribosomal RNA", at positions 29 to 523 of the family's 1533-position model. The record is from RNAcentral.